CCCUUAGAUGUUCUGGGCCGCACGCGUGCUACACUGAUGUAUUCAACGAGUCUAAAACCUGGUCUGAUAGGGCUGGGUAAUCUUUUGAAAGUGCAUCGUGAUUGGGAUAGAUGAUUGCAAUUCUUCAUCUUCAACGAGGAAUGCCUAGUAAACGCAAGUCAUCAGCUUGCAUUGAUUACGUCCCUGCCCUUUGUACACACCGCCCGUCGCUCCUACCGAUUGAAUGAUCCGAUGAAUAUCAUGGAUUGAGAGUACGAAUGGGUUCGCUCAUUUCUGCUGCUCGAGAAGUGAAGUAAAUCUUAUCAUUUAGAGGAAGGAGAAGUCGUAACA
This 330-nucleotide ribosomal RNA is filed under the name uncultured eukaryote. Its description in RNAcentral is "partial 18S ribosomal RNA". It matches the Rfam family "Eukaryotic small subunit ribosomal RNA", at positions 1470 to 1796 of the family's 1831-position model. The record is from RNAcentral.